UUGGAAUACAGUCAGCCUGAGCCGAGGCCCAGACGCAGUGCUUCCAGCUGUAAUGGCACAGUCUGUCAACUCAACUCUGUUUUGAAUGGAACUGGGCACUUACCGAUGGCCAAAACCAGCAGUUGACUAAAAUAAUUAAGCUAUGUGCAGACAGUGAUGGAGGUGGAGAAAGAUCAAGCCGGACAAGCCCUUUGGAAAUUAUUUGCCUUUGUUUUACAGGCCCAGCGGGUCCAGGCACAGGCCGCCCUCCAGAGGCUGGAUGAUGUGUGUGGUGGAGUUCCACGCAAAAUGCUACAAGCCUUCAGAGGAGGGAGGGGGCUACACCAAGAAGAUCAGGGGAAAGCUUCGUGGGAGAGAGCCUCCCUGGCCAGGUCUCACAAUCCCAUGGAGUCCUCCCUGAUGGUCUAACAGGAAGCCCCCUCCUCUGGCCUGCUGACUGGCCACAAGCAGAAGUGAGAAAGUUUGCUGACCCCAGCUCUAGAAUCAUAUGGCAGAGACAGACAUUAUUUUCCAUGUGCAUAUAAAUGGCCCUGUCUGGCAAGCAGGGGUCCCUCUUUCCCGUUUUGCCUCUGGAAGAGAAUCGUAAAGUGGACCGAAUGUCAGAGACUGAAAACCUGUUCCUGACAUCUGUUUUCUCUUUGGAACACCGAGACAGCUUUCCUGGGGAAGUGUUCGGACAAAUGCAAGAUUCCUUCCCCGUAGGAUCUUCAAUGUCAUUUACCGAAUUAGACGCAAACCUUCAACUUGGGAGGUUCUGGGCUUCCUGGUGGUGGUGGCUGGUAGGGUCAUCCAUGGUCUUGGCUCUGCCAACUUAAACAAUAAUAUUUAUGCCUGUGCAAAAAACAAGGGUUCAAAUCCCCCCUGUGCCACUUAGCAUAUUGUAUGGUAUUGUGCAAGUUAUUAAACCUGAAUGAAAGAAGCCUCAA
Marmota monax (woodchuck) is the source of this 926-nucleotide long non-coding RNA. RefSeq lists it as uncharacterized. Lineage: Eukaryota; Metazoa; Chordata; Mammalia; Rodentia; Sciuridae. The transcript is spliced from 4 exons. The record is from RefSeq and is a predicted model, not a curated record.